GUUGUUCACUCGAUCUCAAAUCAAGUAAGACUACCCGCUGAACUUA
This 46-nucleotide ribosomal RNA is filed under the name fungal sp. GFI 143. Its description in RNAcentral is "partial 28S ribosomal RNA". Lineage: Eukaryota; Fungi. The record is from RNAcentral.